Molecule: unclassified non-coding RNA, 337 nt
Filed under: soil metagenome
Description: partial contains 5.8S ribosomal RNA, internal transcribed spacer 2, and large subunit ribosomal RNA
Rfam family: 5.8S ribosomal RNA (bases 1-120)
Source: RNAcentral
GAUGAAGAACGCAGCGAAAUGCGAUAAGUAGUGUGAAUUGCAGAAUUCAGUGAAUCAUCGAAUCUUUGAACGCACAUUGCGCCCCUUGGUAUUCCAUGGGGCAUGCCUGUUCGAGCGUCAUUUGUACCCUCAAGCUUUGCUUGGUGUUGGGUGUUUGUCCCGCGUUGCGCGUGGACUCGCCUUAAAGCGAUUGGCAGCCGGCAUAUUGGCCAUGGAGCGCAGCACAUUUUGCGCUUCUAGUCAUGAAUGUUGGCGUCCAUUAAGCCUAUACAUUUGCUCUUGACCUCGGAUCAGGUAGGGAUACCCGCUGAACUUAAGCAUAUCAAUAAGCGGAGGA